Molecule: non-coding RNA, 21 nt
Filed under: Rattus norvegicus (Norway rat)
Lineage: Eukaryota; Metazoa; Chordata; Mammalia; Rodentia; Muridae
Source: RNAcentral
AUGAAUGUGGUGUCGAGUUUA